ACCUUGGGCUUCCUUGGAUGAAGGAAGUGACCGAAACCCGGCGGUAUCGCACGGUCAGUCCCUGCGGUUCUGGCCGGGAGAGCUCUGGAGCAGCGAACCUCGGCGAUGAGGCCUCCUGGAGCUCUCAAGAAGCAUGGCUGAAGUCUUCAAUCUGCACGGCUUUUCAGAAUUUGCUAAGCCAGAUAAAACACUCAUCCAAUCUUUGAGACCUGCCAUGAUAGAGAUGUUUCCUCCGUGCUUUGUCCCUGAGAACCAGUAUUUGUAACACAGUCACACUCUUUAAGCUUAGAUUUUCACAGGGCUAGGAAUGUUUUGGAACGAGAGGUCAGAAGAAAGGCAAUGCAAAGUAAAGGAGCUUCACAAAGACCACUUCAAGUUGUGGUGGAAAGGAAGGCGGUAUCCCAUGUAACAAAAGAUAGGAUAAACAUUCAUCUAGUGGAGGCCUGAGGGGAUGCAUUCUGUUAUAAAAAUAAGUACAUCAUAUUAUCCAUGAGAACAGGCUACCCUUCACUUGCCAUUUUCAGCACCAUCUUGACAGGGUGACUAAGGAAAACGGAAAAAGCCUUUGCUGUUUUCCUCGUAUGUCCCCUCUAAAACACCUCCUUGGCUGAGUGAGGCACACGAAGUAUAGCCAGGAUCCAGAGCACGUGAAGCAAAUCAUAUCACAGACAUAAAAUACAAGUUAAUUCUCUGUUGGGUUCUAGUAUUGGCAGAGUUGGUAACAUUUCCUUAAGUAAGUGAAAGUAACCAGUUGAAAACAAGGUUUUAUAAAUACUUCUAGAUAUUAAAUGUUUCCCAUUACAUGGUACGUUCCAAGCAAUUAGCAGCUCUUCAAGUCAAUGCUGAUAGUUAGAUCAGAAGAAAAAAUCCUCAAGGAGUCAGUUGGGAAAAUGUACAAAUGAAAAACACAUCUGUCUUGUUUUAACUUCUGCCCUGGGAUCUGGAUUUUCUAAUUCUUCUUUCUUUCUUUCUUCCUUUCUUUAUUUUUUCUUUUCUGGGAAGGAAGAGGAAGAAAAAGAGAUAAAAGGUUCUGUAGAAGCAUAUGCCUUUUUAAGAAGAGAAGAGUGUGCCCACUUGUGAAUUUGUCUAUAUAUCAGUGUUCUGGUAUAAAGGUGAAAAAAGAAAACAAUCCAAAAGCAUUUCUUUGUCUUAUCUGUGACAUGAUGUCUGGCUUAGGCCACAUUUUGCAGGGCUGGAAAAAGACCAAAGAGAUGCCACAGGAAAAUAUAUUGAAAUUCAAAGUAUUUUUAUAGAGUGCAGCUAAACUCAGCAUACCUUCCUAGCUUAACUCUGACCAGAUGUAGGAGUGGAUAAAAAACGCAAACUGUUUUGAUUUUACCUCAUCCCUUUAUUUUUCAUGUAUAAUAAAUACUGUAUUUAGAUGAGUCCAAGAUUAUCUCUGGGGGAAUGUCACAUAAAUUAUGUGCAUGGAGGGAAAUGAUCCUCACCAACCACUGCAGAUAACAUGGAAAAGGUCCUACCACAACUUCAGUGUGUGCUCACCCAGGCUGGUGGGUAGUCACAGGAAGAGAGAACUUCUGUGUCCGUGGAGGGAUUCUGCUGAGCGCUUGACAAAUUCAUAAUAAAGGAAAAUAAUAUUUUGAGAUCCUGGCACAACACCACACAAUAGAGUUGGCCCUGGUGAUGGCCCCACAUGUUUUCUUCAGCACUGCCACUGGACCAGUUGUACUGAGGGCACUGUGACUCCACACCUUGCUUAUUUCAUGCUUUUGCUCCAUUAAAAUGGCUGGAAGUAUGGACUUAAUUGUGUUUUUCCUCAUUCAUCAGAAUAAUUCACAUCUAUUCCUUUUUGUUUUUUUUUUUUUUUUUUUUCUUUCUAUUUGCAGAACCUGGCUAGGAAAUGCUGCGUAGAAGGAAGAGACAAGUCAUCACCCUGUAGCAGAUAUCACUUGAAUAAAGUAUGUGAAGUGUUAUAAAGC
This 1940-nucleotide long non-coding RNA is filed under the name Gallus gallus (chicken). Its description in RNAcentral is "lncRNA (ENSGALG00000051281.2)". The record is from RNAcentral. Lineage: Eukaryota; Metazoa; Chordata; Aves; Galliformes; Phasianidae.